GCGAAAGCGAGUCUGAAUAGGGCGACGAGUUCGAGGGAUAAGACCCGAAACCGAGUGAUCUAGCCAUGUGCAGGUUGAAGGUGCGGUAACACGCACUGGAGGACCGAACCCACGUCUGUUGAAAAAGACGGGGAUGACGUGUGGCUAGGGGUGAAAGGCCAAUCAAACUUAGAGAUAGCUGGUUCUUCGCGAAAUUUAUUGAGGUAAAGCGUUCAAUUUUGGUCAAAAGGGGUAGAGCACUCAUUAAGCUAUGGGGGCCCAAAGCCUUACUGAUCUUUGUGAAACUCCGAAUACUUUGUGACUUGAAGUUGAAUAGACAGACUUAAAGUGCUAAGGUUUUAAGUCAAAAGGGAAACAGCCCAGAAUUUUUGCUAAGGUCCUUAAACAAUAAGUAAGUGGAUAAAGAAGUUUAUUUCCGACAACAACUAGGAAAUUGGCUUGGAAGCAGCCAUUUUAUGAUGAAAGCGUAAUAGCUCACUAGUC
This 483-nucleotide ribosomal RNA is filed under the name Ostreococcus mediterraneus. Its description in RNAcentral is "partial Bacterial large subunit ribosomal RNA". It matches the Rfam family "Bacterial large subunit ribosomal RNA", at positions 671 to 1150 of the family's 2925-position model. Lineage: Eukaryota; Viridiplantae; Chlorophyta; Mamiellophyceae; Mamiellales; Bathycoccaceae. The record is from RNAcentral.